This 2349-nucleotide long non-coding RNA is filed under the name Nicotiana tabacum (common tobacco). RNAcentral describes it as "long non-coding RNA (NTAB_LNC008839)". The record is from RNAcentral. Lineage: Eukaryota; Viridiplantae; Streptophyta; Magnoliopsida; Solanales; Solanaceae.
GAACUAAUAUUAGCACUAUGAAAAUAUGCAAGCAUGUGUUAAUGGAUUAGUCUUUAGGAAAACAUCUCUCGAACAUUCUCCUAACUUGAUUCAAUCAAUAAUUCAACAAGCACUUUCGAUUACUUAAGAGAAUUACUGAAUUAAAUCAAAUAAAAUAAUACAAAGAUAAUCUCCAAAAUAUUUCUCUUUCGAUUAAAUAAACCGGUGAAUAAAGUUAUAACAAUUCAAAGCUCAUAAACGAAUUCAAGCUAAGAACUAGAGUUAAAAUCUACAAAUAUCAAUUAAAACACCAUAUCCAUCAAACCCUAAGGGAAACUACUCCAUAAUCAUGGAAGAAGUCAUCACAAAUAUAAUUAAAGAGCAAGAAAAUAUCAAUAUAACGUUACAAUCCAAACUCCCGUAUUGAAUUGAUGAAAAGAUGAUGAAAUUCUGUAUCUUGUAGCCUGCAAUGCUCUCCUAAAGCUUUCAAGGUCAAAAGUCCCUUCAAAAAUAUUUUUUUGUGUAUUUAUACCAUGUACGAGAGGGCCCGGGCGAAACUACCAUUUUCAAGUUGAAAUGGGAAAAUACUCUGAGAAAAUUGUACAGGCGCGCCGCGCCAUGCGCCGCCUCAUGUGGGGGCGUUAGUGGAAAAGUUCAGAGAGCAGAUUCUGACAGGGUAGUGGCAUGACAGUAUACUUUUUACAGAGUAAUUCAUUUUCUUCAAAUUUUGAUAUCCAGACUUUACUCUCGAUCUCCGAACGCGAUUCCGAUUUAAUCUCUUGGGCUUUUACUCAGACUUCAAAGCUCCAACUUGUUAGGUUUAGCUCCCGAUUAUCUUUUUAACUAGGAAUCACUUCUUGUAAGGUAUAAAACACAUAAUAAGUGCAGUUCACUAUCAUUCAAGCUCAAACACAAAUAAAAUGCAGUAAUUAGAGUGCAAAUUACGACUAAAAUAUGGGAUUCUAGCCUACCAUCAUACGAUUUGAAUGAUUCCUAUUAUACAUCCAUCUACGAUCCCCAAAUUCCAUCUACACAAACAAAUAUAAUUGCUAAACUUCUCUAAACUUCACUAUUAUCUUCAUUUCAUAAGUAAGAAAUUAGAUUUUUAAAACAAAAGUUACGUAAUUAAAUAUGCUCAUAAUUUUUCACUCUAUCCCCAAUCCCAACAAACUUUCUUGAUGCUUUUUCAACAAACCUUAAUCCAAAAUAUAAUUAAGGUGAUAUUAUGUACAUUUUUCUUAUUGCAUAAUAAUUAAUAAAAUGCCAUAUCUUUGCAAGUCUUAGAAUUGCAUAUUUAGAGCUUUAGUUAUAAUGAUUUCUCAAGAUGUCAACUUAGAUAAAGGAAAGGGCAUCAUUUUUCGUCGUUAAUUAUUAAGGAGUAGAUUUCUUGAUCAAUACCAUAUACAAAUUAAACAAAACUAGCACACAAGUAUAUAUAAUUCACUUGAACAUAAUAUUAUGAAGAGGAAUUAAGAAAAUUCAAAGUCUAAAGGUUAAUUAUUACUAGUCCACUCAAAAUAAAGUAAGUUAAAAAGCCAUAUAGAAUAACUAGAUAGUUAAAAAAUAUAUAAACAAAAAUAUAUUAAGAACAAAUAUAUCAAAAUUCUACUUGAAUUGCAAUAAACAACUAGCUAGUUACAAACAAAUAAUAUAUAGAACAAAUAUAUUAAGAUUCAUAAAACAAAAAUCGAAGAAAUUAAAUAUAUUAAGAUUCUACUUAUAUUGCAAUAAAAAAAUAAAAAUAAAACAAAUAUACUAUGAUUCAAAGCGGCUAAAGGAUGAGCGUAAAACUUACCUCGCCGGAAGAUAACCACGCCCAGACACCGUAGUUGCUGGACGCCGGAGUUGCUGCCUGAAAAAGAAAAAAAAUUAAGAUGGGGUUCAAAUACAUGAAAUCUGGCCGCGAGAAAGGGAGGAGGGAGAGAGAUAGGGAGGAGGAAGAGAGUGGUUCUCAUAGCCGGAAUUUGAUACUCAAAGCAGACCGCCGGUGAUGGAGGAGAAAGAAAGGAAGAAAAGAGAAAGAGGAGGAGAAAAGAAGAAAUGGGUCCGGGGGAGAGUUUUAAAUUAAAUUUCUGACCGAUUUAGCAGGGAAAAAAAGUAAAAUUAAAAUAAUAAUAAAAUUUCCGAUCAUUUUGGUCAGUAAAGGACUGACAAUAUUUAAAAUUUUUCGACCAUUUCAGUGGAAAGUUCAAAAGUGGUCAAACUUUAAAAAGUUGCUUUCAUGGACCGACCGAAUCGGUCGCAAAAUAAAUUCACGGAUUUUCACGCCAACUUAUUGCGACAAGUGUUGUCGAUAUGUUGUCGAAAUUAUAAGAAAAGAAAUUAAACAAUUUUUUUUGGCAAUUUCUGACCGAGUCUGUUGGAAAUCUC